CGUGUCUUCCUCCUCUGCAGACCCUGAGCUCCUGACCAAGCCUGCAACCCUGAAUCCAUCCUGCACCCAGCAUCUCGGCUCUGCCAGAUGAGGAAACUGAGGCUCAGAGAGCUACGCCAGUUCCUAAAGGAGAAGAGUGAGAAAAGACAGUGCACGUGGAGAGAAUCGUGUACAAAUAGCACAAGGACACGAGGGUGACUUGUGAGUUGGGGAAAGGUUGGGUGUGGCUAGAACGGGGUCAGUGCCCAUCAUGGGUGAGGCCAGGAGGCGGGCCUGAGGAGCUGGCCUCAGGCAGGGGCUGGAUGCCCAGGAGUGGCACAAGCAGAGAGCGUCUUAGGAAGACGGGAUGCAGCAGAAGCGUGAAGGGUGGACGGGGCUGCAGGGCAGCGGGCGGAAUGGGCCCCGCUUCCUUGGUGGUCAGCCCGGCCUGGGCGUUUCGAGGCCCAUGGAGGAAGUCACGAGUGCUCGGAAGUGUCCGUCUCGAGCACCCCGGGGGCCUGGCGCUCUCACUUUCUCCUCCUUACUCCUGGGUACCACUGACACACUGUACAUGAUUUAUCUGGGUUUCACCCCUCCUGACCCCGCCCCCACCCACUCCCAAAAAUGUGGAUUCCGUGAGGGCAGGGACUCCACCUGUGUUCCCGGCUGAGUCCCAGUGCCUGGUAGCACGCCUGGUUCAACAAAAGUAUGAGGAAUGAAUGUUCAUUCAUUCAUGAGUAAAUGAAUUUGCCUUGUUUGUAUUUGGGAAGACAGAGAGGGAAAUCCAUUUGUGGAGGAAGAGAAGCAGCUGUGUGGGACCUCUCAAGACCCCUCAGCCCCCAGCAGGUGAUGGAUGCCGACUGACUUAAAAGGCAUCAGAACGUAGCAAGUGGGUUUGACUGUUUUUCGUCCUCCGAGGCUCCUGCUCUCCAGCUGGACCUGGCAGGGCCAGGGGUGCCGCACACGCACCUUUCACCACCCAAGAGGCAGCAGGGAUGGUGAGCGAGAGGGCGAGAGGCACAGGAAUCAGCCCCCUGCUGCCAACCCCCGCUGCUGACCCCUGGCAGAAUUCCCUCCUCCCCAGACUGCAGUCACCAGGUCAGCCUCCAGGGGGACACUCCCACUGGACAGACGAGAGAGGGUGGGGACCUCUGCCCUCUGGUUGUCCUGUGUCCUUCUGGGAUGGGCAGCCGUCACAGACACACAGACCUGCCUGUCUAUCUCUGGACACACAGCGGGGUGGGAGGCAGGUUUGUCCCAGCCUCAGGUCUGUGCUCUCCAGAGCCCAGCGCAGAGCCUGACACAUGGUAGGUGGUCAACAAAUACUUUCGAAGGAAUGAACGAAUGCUACCCUGAAACUUCGACUGCCAGGUAACAACAAUAACGUUCAUUAAGAAUCGUGACAGUAGUGACCCCACGAUGGUGAAGCCUGGGAGUGUCCUGGCGCACCGGAGGGGCAAACAGCACUCCCAGAUCCUUGUCCCUUGGCCUAUUGACCAACAGCACGGCCAGCAAGGACAUCAGGCGAGGGCUGGCUCUGCCGCUCCCACUAGUGGGGCCAGUGAAGAUGGACGCCUGGUGGAGGGCCCUGCCGGGGCCCUGGACAGUCCUGCCCUUCCAGGUCACAGGGCCCAGCUCUGCCCAGAAGUCUUUAUUUUUUUUUAAUCAAAUUUUUUUUUUUUUAAAGAUUGGCA
Molecule: long non-coding RNA, 1673 nt
Filed under: Equus caballus (horse)
Lineage: Eukaryota; Metazoa; Chordata; Mammalia; Perissodactyla; Equidae
Description: lncRNA (ENSECAG00000035539.3)
Source: RNAcentral